Molecule: RNA transcript, 1404 nt
Organism: Trifolium pratense (red clover)
Lineage: Eukaryota; Viridiplantae; Streptophyta; Magnoliopsida; Fabales; Fabaceae
Gene name: DNA repair protein RAD51 homolog A-like
Exons: 4
Source: RefSeq, a predicted model, not a curated record
GUGUAGAUCGGUGAAAUCGGAGCAUUUAGAUAAGAAACGAGCGACGGUGAUAACAUCAUUGAGCUGAGAACGUGAACUAUUCGAUGCCGAAAGAAGCAGCGUGUUGUGUCUACUGAAGAAGAAGAGCUUCAAGAUUUCAUUGAGAAACAAAAAGCAUAUUAUAAGAAGAUUGAUGAAUUUCAACUUGAGGAGGAAGAGGUUGAAUCUAUUGAUGCGUGAUAUAAUAUUUUACUACUUUAGGUUAAUCCAUAAAUGUAGCAGUAGUAAUUGUUGAUUGAUGUUGAUAUAUAGUAUAUAGUGUUAAGGCAAAUGAAGCUGUUUAACAAUGAUAAUUACCAAUUACACAGAGUUAGUAAAUUGACCUUAGAAACUCUAUCUUGAAUGUGGUACAGUUUAUGUAUGAGUGUUUUAUGAAUGGGGUUUGUUCUGGAAAGAAAGAAGAAAGAAUUAGAAGAAAAAGGAAAAGUAGAGAUCAUGCGCAAGUCUUACAAAGAUUCUCUCAAAACUCUUGAAGCUGACAUCCAUUUUGCCAAUACACUACAGUGCUACUGCUCUCUAUAGGACAGAUUUUUCGGGAAGAGUGGAACUUUCAGCCCGUCAAAUGCAUUUAGCGAAGUUCCCGAGGAGCCUUCAGAAGUUAGCAGACGAGUUCGGCGUGGCUGUUGUCUUAACAAAUCAAGUAGUUUCACAGGUAGAUGGUUCUGCAAUGUUUGCUAGACCCCAAGUCAAGCCUAUUGGAGGCAAUAUUAUGGCUCAUGCAACCACAACAAGGUUAGCUCUCAGGAAAGGAAGAGGGGAAGAGCGAAUCUGUAAAGUGAUUAGUUCUCCUUGUUUGGCUGAAGCCGAAGCAAGGUUUCAGAUUUUAGGUGAAGGUGUUUCAGAUGUUAAAGACUGACCAAUUCGAGCAUUGUCUGAAACGUUGAAUUUUUUUUUUUAUUUGUGUCCUUUAGCUAGCUGUAAAAGAUUAUUUGAAACUAUCUAUUGUGUAAUUUUGCAAUAAUGUUCAGUUUUGUUGGCCCCUAUUUUCUUACCACUGUUCUUUUGGAAUUCUCUUUGCAUUUUGCGAUAGCGAUAAUUGUUGCAGUAUUGUAGCCAAGAUAGAUUGUUUAAGAAGAGACCCACUAGCCAUUCAAAAAAAAAAACCCACUUAUUGAACUUUUUGCAGACUACUACUUAUGAUAUCUUUGAAGAGUCUUGGUUUUUCUUCUUCAGCUCAAGUCAAACUGUAUAGAUCAUACUGGUUCAAUAAGAUAGGGGUGAUGGUAGUGCUUGGUUAUUGAUCACAUUUGUUCUAUAGUUUAAGGCGAAAAUGGAAAUGCAUUUGUGAAUAAGUGUGUACUAUAGGUUGUGAAUAAUGGUUUGAAUAUUCAGGAUUUAAAAAAUCUAUUUUACUCUCAUAGUCAA